GAGUUUGUCGUGGCUCAGGAUGAACGCUAGCGACAGGCUUAACACAUGCAAGUCGAGGGGCAGCAUGAUUUGUAGCAAUACAGAUUGAUGGCGACCGGCGCACGGGUGAGUAACGCGUGAGGAACCUGCCUCAAAGAGGGGGACAACAGUUGGAAACGACUGCUAAUACCGCAUAAGCCCACGGGUCGGCAUCGACCAGAGGGAAAAGGAGCAAUCCGCUUUGAGAUGGCCUCGCGUCCGAUUAGCUGGUUGGUGAGGUAACGGCCCACCAAGGCGACGAUCGGUAGCCGGACUGAGAGGUUGAACGGCCACAUUGGGACUGAGACACGGCCCAGACUCCUACGGGAGGCAGCAGUGGGGAAUAUUGCACAAUGGGGGAAACCCUGAUGCAGCGACGCCGCGUGGAGGAAGAAGGUCUUCGGAUUGU
RNAcentral lists this ribosomal RNA (427 nucleotides) under uncultured bacterium. Its description in RNAcentral is "bacterial SSU rRNA". It matches the Rfam family "Bacterial small subunit ribosomal RNA", at positions 9 to 426 of the family's 1533-position model. The record is from RNAcentral.